UGUAAGUCCUGACUCCGCCGCCCACGACUUGCGGCCGCAGGCAGGUCCCAGCCGUGCCGGCUCGGUGUCCCCAUCUGUGAGACGCAGGUGCUGACACGGGGCCCGCCCGCGUGAGUGCCGUGAGGCGGCGGGGAGCACCGUGAGCCCGGUCUCACCGUCAAGGUGGGCUCGGGGUGUCGGGGUCUCGGGGCGCCCCCCAACCAGGCCGCACCCCGCACGCGAGACUCUGUCUCAAAAAAAUUAAAAAAGUCCUAUGAGAAUCCCAAGAAAAAUCUAUAAAUACUUUCUUUGCCUUUCCAUUUUCCUGACUUUUCUUCUCCUGCCACGUCUGAGGGAAGCAAGAAAGGAGUCCACACGCCAGGCGGCAGGUUGCGCGCCCGCGCUCUAAGCGGCCCUAGCCGCGCAGCGGCGUCCCGGCCGCCGCCCACAAAUCCCGCGAGACGUGGGGAGAGAACGGGGCUCCGGCGGGAGCUGGGAAUUCCCAGCGAGCUGAUGAACGCAAACUUAACGGGAGAGCAAAGUCAUUCCAACAGCUCCUUAGUAUCUUGAAGGACAAACCGCAUUAUGCAUCUCUCCUACAGUGGCUGUUUUAACACUGGUCUUUACAACAUGGUCCCUUCAGGUACCAAAUUGCAUUUGGAAAAAGACAUCAAGCCCUGAUGUGAAGAAUCCUGCCAUGUUAAAGUUGGGGAAAUUUGCUUUAUGUAGACAAAAUUAAAUUGGAAACAGGAAUCAAUGGAAACAUAUUGACAACACCAUUCAUUUAAAGAGAAGAAAUGGUCCAUGGGAUAAAAGCAAUUUUUCUUUAGUAUUUGCUAUCUGGAAAGACAGCUACUCAAGGACACCAGAAGGUCCAAAUACUACAAAUGGCCACGUGACCUCCUGCUGGCGGCCAAAAGUCCAGUCCUGUGCCCAGCCGGUACAGACCAGAACAAGCCACUUCCAGGUGCCCUUAGCUCAUUAUCAUAUCAUUCUAAUACUAAAAAUCACUCCCCUGAGUGAAAACUGCGAUGCAUAUGCAGUGUAUGAAAAAGCAUGUCCGUGAACUGCAUCUGAAACUUCACCAUGUGCGUGCUCACACACCUCCUCCCUCCCACACCUAACUUUAAAACUCCCACACCCCCCUUUGCUUGGAGAGAAGGUGCCGUUAGAGCUCAAGCUCACCUUUCUCCAUUCUUUGGCCAAAGAAUUAAAAACCCUGAAUGCC
Molecule: non-coding RNA, 1207 nt
Organism: Microcebus murinus (gray mouse lemur)
Lineage: Eukaryota; Metazoa; Chordata; Mammalia; Primates; Cheirogaleidae
Source: RefSeq, a predicted model, not a curated record